AUUGAACGCUGGCGGCAUGCCUUACACAUGCAAGUCGAACGGUAACGGGCCUUCGGGUGCCGACGAGUGGCGAACGGGUGAGUAAUGCAUCGGAACGUACCUUUCAGUGGGGGAUAACGUAGCGAAAGUUACGCUAAUACCGCAUAUUCUGUGAGCAGGAAAGCAGGGGAUCGCAAGACCUUGCGCUGAUUGAGCGGCCGAUGUCAGAUUAGCUAGUUGGUGAGGUAAAGGCUCACCAAGGCGACGAUCUGUAGCGGGUCUGAGAGGAUGAUCCGCCACACUGGAACUGAGACACGGUCCAGACUCCUACGGGAGGCAGCAGUGGGGAAUUUUGGACAAUGGGGGCAACCCUGAUCCAGCCAUGCCGCGUGAGUGAAGAAGGCCUUCGGUUGUAAAGCUCUUUCGGCCGGGAAGAAAUCGUAUGGGUUAAUACCUGUGCGGAUGACGGUACCGGCAUAAGAAGCACCGGCUAACUACGUGCCAGCAGCCGAC
Molecule: ribosomal RNA, 492 nt
Filed under: uncultured bacterium
Lineage: Bacteria
Description: bacterial SSU rRNA
Rfam family: Bacterial small subunit ribosomal RNA
Source: RNAcentral